GAUGAACGCUAGCGGCAGGCUUAACACAUGCAAGUCGAGGGGCAGCAUGAGGGUUAGCAAUAACCCUUGAUGGCGACCGGCGCAAGGGUGCGUAACGCGUGAGCAACUUGCCCGUUUCAGGGGGAUAACCGGUGGAAACGCCGACUAAUACCCCAUGGCAUCAUUAGGAGGCAUCUCCUUCUGAUUAAAGAAUUUCGGAAACGGAUAGGCUCGCGUGACAUUAGCUAGACGGCGGGGUAACGGCCCACCGUGGCGACGAUGUCUAGGGGUUCUGAGAGGAAGGUCCCCCACACUGGAACUGAGACACGGUCCAGACUCCUACGGGAGGCAGCAGUGAGGAAUAUUGGUCAAUGGUCUGACGACUGAACCAGCCAUGCCGCGUGAAGGUCACGGCCCUAUGGGUCUUAAACUCUUUUGCAAGGGAGCAAUAAGCCUCACGUNUGGGGCGAUGAGAGUACCUUGCGAAUAAGCAUCGGCUAACUCCGUGCCAGCAG
RNAcentral lists this ribosomal RNA (494 nucleotides) under uncultured bacterium. RNAcentral describes it as "bacterial SSU rRNA". It matches the Rfam family "Bacterial small subunit ribosomal RNA", at positions 28 to 514 of the family's 1533-position model. The record is from RNAcentral.